UACGUAGGGUGCAAGCGUUGUUCGGAGUUACUGGGCGUAAAGAGUAUGUAGGCGGUUGGGGAAGUUUGGGGUGAAAUCUCCCGGCUUAACUGGGAGGGUGCGCUAAAGACUGCCUGGCUCGAGUGUGGGAGAGGAAAGCGGAAUUCCUGGUGUAGCGGUGAAAUGCGUAGAUAUCAGGAGGAACACCUGCGGUGUAGACGGCUUUCUGGACCAUAACUGACGCUGAGAUCCGAAAGCGUGGGUAGCAAACAGG
This 253-nucleotide ribosomal RNA is filed under the name uncultured bacterium. RNAcentral's name for it is "partial 16S ribosomal RNA". It matches the Rfam family "Bacterial small subunit ribosomal RNA", at positions 524 to 776 of the family's 1533-position model. The record is from RNAcentral.